ACAGAAAAGCUGGGGUCAGGUGGGCCACGGGCUCUGAUGGAGUCACAGACUACUGUAGCAACUUGGAACAGCAGUGAGUUUCUCAUAUACAGGAUAGGUCAGGAGGAGUUAGCCAGUCUUGGUAGGACACAUCUGUAGGCAAACAGUCUCAGGCUAGCAUCCGGGAGGAGGAGGAAGCUGCAGCUGUUAUUUUGUCACACAGGGACAAACAUCUGGACUUGGACCUGAGCAAGGCUUUGGCCCCAGGUUGGAGAAAGGCUCUGCUGAAUUCCCAUGGAGUUCCAUCCUUGACAUGGCUGUGCCCACGUCAACAAUACAUAUUCACUCUGAGAUUCUUUGGCUCAAUACACUCCAGAAGCCAAGGCCAGAUGUUCUUCCUCCUCGGGUCAGUUGGUCAGAAGGAAUCUCCCAGGACCUCACAGGUGUGGGAGAAGAGGCUCCCGUGAAAACAGAAAUGCUGAUCCGGCUUCUGUGGUGCACAUGCCUGACUGAACUGGUACGGCUGCUAAGACACAACCUACAAUGGAAAGUUCUGGUUGCAUGGACCUCCAUAACUCUUGCUGCUUCCCCUUCGUCAGGCUAGAUGAACACGUGAUCGUCGUCACAGUGAACCAGAAUGACAGUUCGUGUAAUGCAUCAGAACCCUGAGGUAAGACAGCGCAUGCGCUCCGGCCCCUGAGGAAAGACUGAGCAUGCGCACCGCCAUCUGUUCCAACUCAGCGAUUGCCUCUUCAUGUCACAUUCACCUUCUAUCCGUGCCGUGCGUGAUGCUGGAGCUGGCUGGGAAGACCACGGUUGCUUUCUGCUCUGCGCUGCCAGGAAAGAGCGCAGGGCAGAUGCUGGGAACGCAGCAGCAGGAAGAAGGGGCUUGCUUAUUUCUAUUGGCUUCCUGUUCCUGUAACGUCGCCCUGGCAACACUUCUUCACCCUGGCAUUAGCAGUGCCUUCCUUGGCAGCAGCUGAAUCCACUUUGCAGUUUUCCCAACGCUCCGGAGCUCCAGUUCCCAACACAAGGAUGCCCAUCCUCGGAGUUUCAGGCUCUCCAAACGCUUUCCCCGAACGCUUCCCCCGAACGCUUCCCCCAAAGCGGCUAAACUUGAGAGCAUUGCUGGCUUCUUCUGUUUCACUAGCCUUCUGUUCCUGAUGUUGCUUCCCGGCAGAUAAAGAACACUCCUGAAAGAAAGAAAGAAAGAAAGAAAGAAAGAAAGAAAGAGAGAGAGAGAGAGAGAGAGAGAGAGAGAGAGAGAGAAAGGGAGAAGAGGAAGAGAGGAGAGAGAGAGAGAGAGAGAAAGAAAGAUUUGUUUUAUUCGUGUGUGUACAGGCAUGGGUGUUAGUGUGUGUGUGUGUGUGUGUGUGUGUGUGUGUGUGUGUGUGUGAAGUUCAGGUACCCAUGGUGUUCAGAAGAGCAAAAACCCCUAGAGCGGGAGUUCCAGGUAGCCGUGAGCUUCCUGACAUGGUUGCUGGAAACAAAGCUCAGGCCCUCUGAAUGAGCACUAAGUGCUCUUGGCCACUGAGCCGGUCUCUACAGCCCUGAGCACUUCUUCUACCGUUUCUGUUCCACUUACAGAUGCUAUCCAUACCAUCAAUGAUUUACUGACAUUCUCAGCUUAUAUUAGUGCUGAGAUCUGUAUUGUGGUGGACUCUGAUGGUCUUCCCUUCAGUACCAGAAACCGCUCCAAGUAUCCUGUCCAGAGAGGUACUUUGUAUGCAUGUAUAUCUGGGCACCACACACAUGCCAGGUGCCUGUGGAGGCCAGAAGAGGGUAUCGGAUCCCCAGAACUGGGAUUACAGACGGUUGUGAGCCACCAUAU
Molecule: long non-coding RNA, 1810 nt
Organism: Mus musculus (house mouse)
Lineage: Eukaryota; Metazoa; Chordata; Mammalia; Rodentia; Muridae
Product: predicted gene, 33814
Exons: 4
Source: RefSeq, a predicted model, not a curated record